GGCCGGCCAGAACGAGCCGUAAAUGAAGACACUGCACACUGCUGGCAUCUGUAGUCUUCUCACUCGGCUUUCAACAAGUAGUAGCCGGCCAGAGAGCACUGGAAGGUUGAACUCGAGAAGAAAAGGACCGUGGUGUUUGAAGGGGCUUCACGGAGCAAGCGGAGGAGACCGAAUUGUGCCGAUUUCAAAGAAGAUAACACCCCCUGUGCCAGCAGAGCCAACUUGACUGCCACAGAAGACAUGCCCGACACCCAUUGGUCUGAGUCACUGGAGAAGGGGUUACAACAAAAGCAAUGGGAUUUGA
Phyllostomus hastatus (greater spear-nosed bat) is the source of this 304-nucleotide long non-coding RNA. RefSeq lists it as uncharacterized. The record is from RefSeq and is a predicted model, not a curated record. The transcript has 3 exons. Lineage: Eukaryota; Metazoa; Chordata; Mammalia; Chiroptera; Phyllostomidae.